RNAcentral lists this ribosomal RNA (504 nucleotides) under uncultured bacterium. RNAcentral describes it as "partial 16S ribosomal RNA". It matches the Rfam family "Bacterial small subunit ribosomal RNA", at positions 29 to 523 of the family's 1533-position model. The record is from RNAcentral.
AACGAACGCUAGCGGCAGGCUUAAUACAUGCAAGUCGAGGGGUAGCAAGAUUGUAGCAAUACAAUUGUUGACGACCGGCAAACGGGUGCGGAACACGUACACAACCUUCCUACAAGUGGGGAAUAGCCCAGAGAAAUUUGGAUUAAUCCCCCGUAACAUAGCGAUGUGGCAUCACAUUGCUAUUAUAGCUUCGGCGCUUGUUGAUGGGUGUGCGGCUGAUUAGAUAGGUGGCGGGGUAACGGCCCACCAAGUCUACGAUCAGUAGCUGAUGUGAGAGCAUGAUCAGCCACACGGGCACUGAGACACGGGCCCGACUCCUACGGGAGGCAGCAGUAAGGAAUAUUGGACAAUGGACGCAAGUCUGAUCCAGCCAUGCCGCGUGAAGGAUUAAGGUCCUCUGGAUUGUAAACUUCUUUUAUAAGGGACGAAAAAAGGUCUUUCUAGAUCGUCUGACGGUACCUUAUGAAUAAGCACCGGCUAACUCCGUGCCAGCCGCCGCAGUAA